GAUGAAGAACGCAGCGAAAUGCGAUAAGUAGUGUGAAUUCCAGAAUUCAGUGAAUCAUCGAAUCUUUGAACGCACAUUGCGCCCCUUGGUAUUCCAUGGGGCAUGCCUGUUCGAGCGUCAUUUGUACCUUCAAGCUCUGCUUGGUGUUGGGUGUUUGUCUCGCCUCUGCGUGUAGACUCGCCUCAAAAUAAUUGGCAGCCGGCGUAUUGAUUUCGGAGCGCAGUACAUCUCGCGCUUUGCACUCAUAACGACGACGUCCAAAAGUACAUUUUUACACUCUUGACCUCGGAUCAGGUAGGGAUACCCGCUGAACUUAAGCAUAUCAAUAAGCGGAGGA
This 337-nucleotide unclassified non-coding RNA is filed under the name soil metagenome. Its description in RNAcentral is "partial contains 5.8S ribosomal RNA, internal transcribed spacer 2, and large subunit ribosomal RNA". The stretch from base 1 to 120 matches the Rfam family "5.8S ribosomal RNA", at positions 35 to 154 of the family's 154-position model. The record is from RNAcentral.